This is a long non-coding RNA of Haplochromis burtoni (Burton's mouthbrooder), 1193 nucleotides long. RefSeq lists it as uncharacterized. The record is from RefSeq and is a predicted model, not a curated record. The transcript has 5 exons. Lineage: Eukaryota; Metazoa; Chordata; Actinopteri; Cichliformes; Cichlidae.
GUAAAAGAAGAAGAAGAAGAAGCGGAAAAAAGUGCGAGAGAGAGCGUGAGAAAAAUAAAAAAAAUAAAAAUCUAUUGGGAGCGGUUUCGCGUCGCUCACUUCAAAGACCUGGCUCUCCUCACUAUUUCCCCUGUUUAAAGGAAAUUGAGGGUCAGGUGUAUGUCGGAGAGGUGAAGGAGAAAGAGAAAGCUAAGAAACAGUAGGAGAAGGCUGUUUCCUCUGGACAGACUGCUGGACUCGUCAAGGCUUCUGGAAGAAAGCACUGUAGUUUUCAGUCUCUGUCAAUAUGGUUGGGGAAGCCUGCAGUCAGCUGUGACUGAAGAAGUCACUUGGAUGAGUGAUGAAACGUUUCUCCCACUGAAAACGUCCAGAUGAACAGAACCAACUUUUUCAGAUUUCUUUCUUGAACUUGAAACCAUGGAUGUCGAUUUUAUUGUCACUUUGCUAAGUGUUUAAAUAAGUGUCCAUGGAUGUCGAUUUUAUUGUCACUUUGCUAAGUGUUUAAAUAAGUGUCGAUUGGAUUCACUCUCCCAAACAUCCACAAACUAGCAAAUAUUAUCUUUGUGGUUCACAGCACCUCACAGCCUCCUGGACACUGAGCUCAGGGCAGCUGGUCAAUAUAGGAAAACACACAGAUACGUGUCCCUCCCACAGGACACUGAGAGUUUUGCUCUGCACUGAAGUCAGCCAGUGUUCAGUCAGAGUUUGGUCAUGUCUGGACUGUUGGGUGUUCGCCUGCUGCUGCUGUGGGGCUGCGCCUGCCUCUGGCUGAGCAGCUCAGCCUCAGGAGCUCUGGUCAUCUCCAGGCACGAUGAAGCCAUACAGGAAAGAAGAGGAGCUGCCAGAUCACUGCAGAAAAGAAGUACAAAUGAAGCAAUGGUAAGAAAUGUAUCCAUUCAUAUUCCUGGUGAUGAUAAUGGUGAUGGGAGAUAAUUGAUUUAAUUCAGAUUAACAGAUCAGAUUCAUGGAGAGAAACCUGCUUGUUGUUCUCGAUGGGAUGUGUGGAUAAGCUCACAGGGACCUGAAGUGAUGGCUGCCAAAUAAACUGUGUGAUCAAAUUGUAGUGUCGGGGUUGCUGAUUAAUCUGUAAAGAUUUCUCCUGUCUUCUAUUACUUUCCCCAAAUGAGCAAACUCAUUAUAACAGCCUCUCAUUAGGGCUGUGCAAUAUGACCAAAAUCUCAUAUCCCGAUAUA